AGUGAACGCUGGCGGUAGGCCUAACACAUGCAAGUCGAACGGCAGCACAGUAAGAGCUUGCUCUUACGGGUGGCGAGUGGCGGACGGGUGAGGAAUACAUCGGAAUCUACUUUUUCGUGGGGGAUAACGUAGGGAAACUUACGCUAAUACCGCAUACGACCUACGGGUGAAAGCAGGGGAUCUUCGGACCUUGCGCGAUUGAAUGAGCCGAUGUCGGAUUAGCUAGUUGGCGGGUAAGGGCCCACCAAGGCGACGAUCCGUAGCUGGUCUGAGAGGAUGAUCAGCCACACUGGAACUGAGACACGGUCCAGACUCCUACGGGAGGCAGCAGUGGGGAAUAGUGGACAAUGGGCGCAAGCCUGAUCCAGCCAUACCGCGUGGGUGAAGAAGGCCUUCGGGUUGUAAAGCCCUUUUGUUGGGAAAGAAAAGCAGCAGGUUAAUACCCCGCUGUUCUGACGGUACCCAAAGAAUAAGCACCGGCUAACUUCGUG
RNAcentral lists this ribosomal RNA (491 nucleotides) under uncultured bacterium. RNAcentral describes it as "partial 16S ribosomal RNA". It matches the Rfam family "Bacterial small subunit ribosomal RNA", at positions 29 to 507 of the family's 1533-position model. The record is from RNAcentral.